Molecule: long non-coding RNA, 352 nt
Organism: Brienomyrus brachyistius
Lineage: Eukaryota; Metazoa; Chordata; Actinopteri; Osteoglossiformes; Mormyridae
Exons: 3
Source: RefSeq, a predicted model, not a curated record
GUGAGAACCUAAUGUACUUGCUGAAGAUACAGUGAAGAGCGAAAAACAAGGGAUUUAUUUUUGCAGUCUACACAAAGAAACGGAGUGGUGAAUUUUAAUUGUAUAUUCUAAAACAAGAAGACAAAAUCCACUGACAAAGGACAGUAUAUUGACUUCACAUUCAUGUAUAUAUGUAUAAAACGAAAGAUACUGUCCUUUCAUCUCUGCAGCAAUGAGGACAACUAGAAUGUGGCUUUUAUUUAUGAUAGCAUUCUUCUGCAAGCAGAAUACAGUAGACUUAGGACAAGUGACAAGCUUUGCUUCCGGAAAUUUGACAAAUCAUGAUGAAACCGUACAGACGACAAUCACCAGU